RNAcentral lists this ribosomal RNA (253 nucleotides) under uncultured bacterium. RNAcentral's name for it is "partial 16S ribosomal RNA". It matches the Rfam family "Bacterial small subunit ribosomal RNA", at positions 524 to 776 of the family's 1533-position model. The record is from RNAcentral.
UACGGAGGAUCCGAGCGUUAUCCGGAUUUAUUGGGUUUAAAGGGUGCGUAGGCGGCCUGUUAAGUCAGGGGUGAAAGACGGUGGCUCAACCAUCGCAGUGCCCUUGAUACUGAUGGGCUUGAAUGGACUAGAGGUAGGCGGAAUGUGACAAGUAGCGGUGAAAUGCAUAGAUAUGUCACAGAACACCGAUUGCGAAGGCAGCUUACUAUGGUCUGAUUGACGCUGAGGCACGAAAGCGUGGGGAUCGAACAGG